ACGCUGGCGGCGUGCCUAAUACAUGCAAGUCGAACGGCUUUUCUAUGGAAGCUUGCUUCACUGAGAAGAUAGUGGCGAACGGGUGAGUAACACGUGGGUAACCUGCCCAUAAGAGGGGGGAUAACAUCCGGAAACGGGUGCUAAUACCGCAUAGUUUUCUUGAUCGCAUGAUUGAGAAAGGAAAGACGGCCUUUGUGCUGUCGCUUAUGGAUGGACCCGCGGCGUAUUAGUUAGUUGGUGAGGUAACGGCUCACCAAGACGAUGAUACGUAGCCGACCUGAGAGGGUGAUCGGCCACAUUGGGACUGAGACACGGCCCAAACUCCUACGGGAGGCAGCAGUAGGGAAUCUUCCGCAAUGGACGAAAGUCUGACGGAGCAACGCCGCGUGAGUGAAGAAGGUUUUCGGAAUCGUAAAACUCUGUUGUCAGAGAAGAACAAGUUGGAGAGUAACUGCUCCAGCCUUGACGGUAUCUGACCAGAAAGCCACGGCUAACUACGUGCCAGCAGCAGC
Molecule: ribosomal RNA, 512 nt
Filed under: uncultured bacterium
Lineage: Bacteria
Description: bacterial SSU rRNA
Rfam family: Bacterial small subunit ribosomal RNA
Source: RNAcentral